This 73-nucleotide transfer RNA is filed under the name Mustela putorius furo (domestic ferret). It matches the Rfam family "tRNA". Rfam says of the family: Transfer RNA (tRNA) molecules are approximately 80 nucleotides in length. Their secondary structure includes four short double-helical elements and three loops (D, anti-codon, and T loops). The record is from Rfam by way of RNAcentral. Lineage: Eukaryota; Metazoa; Chordata; Mammalia; Carnivora; Mustelidae.
GCCUGACUGGCUUAGUAGGUAGAGCAUGUGACUCUUGAUCUCGGGGUUUUGGGUUCAAGCCCUGCAUUGGGUA